Aethina tumida (small hive beetle) is the source of this 578-nucleotide long non-coding RNA. RefSeq lists it as uncharacterized. Lineage: Eukaryota; Metazoa; Arthropoda; Insecta; Coleoptera; Nitidulidae. The transcript is spliced from 6 exons. The record is from RefSeq and is a predicted model, not a curated record.
CGUUUUCGCGUGCCAUUCACGUAAUUGACGUACCGUCGAUCCCAUGCACUGCCAAUAUUCAGGAACCGCCACGAUCCGGCCAUUGUGACUGUGUCCGCAAAGAUACUAGUGUUCUGGAUCAGUGUGGUUUUGAUUCGAAGUCUCGUUGCAUCAAUUUUAAGUGUGGUGAUUGCUGUGGUUUUGUUGCGGAGGAAGUUCUGUGCGUAUUGAUGAGAGUCUCGGUGCAAGAACGACCGAGAAACUGGCGCGAGGAAAGGGAUUAAAUGGUUUUAUAAAAGGGAUUAGGAACACAAAUAACGUUAAAGACAUCAAAGGUUUAAUGGCGAACUUUAAUUGACUGCUCAUCGAGUAAGAUUAAUGGAUUAUAAAAUUUCGAUCGCGUAGUGUAGUGAGUGGUUGUGACAAACAUUUCGUGAGAACUAUUCAAGAUGAAUGAAUGUCACCGAGUGCUAUUCUUCAGUAUUGUCCUAGCGACGAGUUCAGCUUACAAGGUUUUGGAAAAUGAAAAAAUUGAUAAAGGUAACACGCUUAAUUAAUAUUGAAAGGGCGAAACUCCCCCUACUGUGGAUGUAAGGAUA